Long non-coding RNA from Carassius gibelio (silver crucian carp), 1051 nucleotides. RefSeq lists it as uncharacterized. The record is from RefSeq and is a predicted model, not a curated record. NCBI's taxonomy places the organism in Eukaryota, Metazoa, Chordata, Actinopteri, Cypriniformes, Cyprinidae. The transcript is spliced from 3 exons.
GACAGAAGACAAAGAAGAAAGUUAAUAUUAAUAAAAAAUAAAAAAGCAUCAUCAGUUAAAAACAUGUGAAGAUGUAAUUUGUCAUCACGUUACUGUUGUUAGUUUUAUCUGAAACAAAGUCUGCUCCGUCUUAUCUCUGGAGGUCUGUUCACUUAAAGUGUCAUAAUGAACCUGUUCCUCACAUUCAGUAAAAUGUUCAUAUAUCAGAUAUUAUUGAUGUCUCUGUCUCAGAGUUUAUUGACAAUCAGGUUAAAACUGAAUAAAUCAUCUCUGGGCUGAAAUGCCAUUAGUUUGAACAUUUCUCAUCCGUGGGUCUGUAGAAGAACUGAUCAACUGCAGUAAAAUGGAUUGAUAUUAUUUAAAAGUUGUGUUUGUUUCCUAAUUUAGGAUGAUAUCUAGGAUAAAAUCAUAUGAUAACAUAAUAUAAAAAUAUUAAAUAUAAUAUAAAAAUAAAACUAUAAUAAUACAAUAUAAAUAAUAUGAAAUCAUAUGAUAAAUGAUAACAUUUAGGAUGAAAUCUAUGUAAAGUUGUAUACAUGAGACCCCAGGAGCAGGGGCGUAGCCAUCUUUUCAGAAGUGACGGAGACAGAAAUUAUAUAUAUAUAUAUAUAAACAUAAACAUUUCUAUAAUCUAUAUAGCCUACCAAUCAACAGUUUUUGAACUGUAAGAUAUUUUGUUUUUAAAGAAGUCUCUUCUGCUCACCAAGCCUGCAUUUAUUUGAUCCAAAGUACAGCAAAAACAGUAAUAUUGUGAAAUAUUUUUAUAUUUAAAUUAAAAUUUUUUCCCUUAUUGAAUAUAUUUUAAAAAGUAAUUUAUUUGUGUGAUCAAAGCUGUAUUUUCAGCAUUUUUACUCCAGUUUUCAGUGUCACAUCCUUCAGAAAUCAUUCAAAUAUGCCGAUUUGCUGAUUAUUAAUAUUUAAAACAUGAGGUUUUUUUUCAGUAUUCUUUGAUAAAUAUAAGGAUCCAAAGAUCAGCAUUUAUGUGAAAUAAAAAGAUUUUGCAACAUAAUACACUAUAUCAUUCAAAAGCUUAGAGUCAAUAUCAUUUCUG